CAUUCCCCACCCCACCCCUCGACCCCCACCAACCACUGCCCUGUCCACCAUCGUUGGGCGCCUCCACCGACCACCCACCCACCGGCGCCGACCCCGACGACCCAAUCGUACCCGAGACCCGGCGCCCCCAUCCAUCUACCUCCUCAUCGCGUCGCGCCCCCGCGCCCCCAAAGCACCGCCCGACGAUGGAUCCGAGCGGGCAACCGCCCCAGCGCGCCUCCCGGCGGCGCAUCCGGGCCAACAACUACUCACAUCCUCCCCCACGACUGGUUGCCUCCACUACCCUCCCUUGCAGCUUAGGGUCCGGCGAGUCCCAGCCGCCACGCUCCCUCUGUCCUCUCCUCCGCGUCAAGAUCGACAGUGAGGUCACCGGUGCCUGCGCUCUGCUGACCUCCCCUUCCUCAUCUUCCUGCGAGGUUCCCAACCGCCCUGCCACGGAUGCGUGUGUUGUUGUUUAUGAUGUAGGUGUUCAGCAUGUAGAAGCUGGACGACGUGAUGCUGCUGUUGCCGAUCUGCUGCAGCGCCUCUUGUUUGACCCUGAGAUCACUGGCGAUGAACACAAUCAGAUGAGGACGUGCGUGCGUGUGGCGUGUGUGCUGCUCCUCGCCAUCGUUGUCGUGCGUGUGAAUCGUGCCAACUAUGUGCCAGGUCAUCGAAGGGCUUCUUCCUCGGCAUUGGCGGUGAUCGCGAGUGCAAGGCCGAAGUUUGUUAGCUUAGGGAGGAAGCAUGUGUUGAGCAUGAUGUUACUGCUCUUGGAAUACCUCUGCACGUAGUUGAGUCCGGCUGCCAUGUCCAGCGCGACCUGGACGUGCUUGCUCCAUCCGAGCACCUCAUCGCUGUGGAGCCACUUGCUAAGCGCGCUGUUUUUGGUGAACUCGAACAUCACGUACGUCAAUACAUGUAGCCGUCGUGCAUGCAGUGAUGGAGAGGCCCCGGACAGGCGGAUGAGGCUCAAGUGGUUGAGGCGACCAAGGAUGCUCACCUCGACGGUAGCGCACACAUCAUUGACUCCUGUUCACGAUCAUCGGUUGUAGCGCAUGGCAUGGCGAUGGUGGAGGAGAUAAAGUGUUGAGAAAAAGGACGGCGAUGCGAAGGGAAGAUGAUAUGAGAUUACUCGACAAGUAUGCGGAGAAUUUUUUAUUAUAUUUGAUCUUCAGAUGAUGAGCAUAAUAAUGGAGAUGGUGCAUAUGCGGAUUUUCCUCUCCCGCUACAACAUAGUUUAUAUUCUGGGGUGCGGCAGUUCCUUUCGGUUGGCGGCGACUGCAAUGUAGUUAUCACCAUGCUCUUUAUAUUACUGGAAACAUCAUUCUUGAUUAUUUCUCCUUGUGUUAUUGGUCACCAUCAUUGUUGAUUAUUUCUCCUUCCGUUUCGUUAUCCAAUAGAUAUUCUAUUAGUACAUGUAUAUUUGGGUGACAAAGGAGCAUGCCAUCCCUGAUUAAACCCCAAAUUGGCGAGAUGAGACGUUUUAUAUCUAAAUCUUGUUUCAUAGAAUUAAUCAUUUGUUUAGUUUGAGAUAUUAAACCCAAAUAAGU
Triticum dicoccoides is the source of this 1532-nucleotide long non-coding RNA. RefSeq lists it as uncharacterized. NCBI's taxonomy places the organism in Eukaryota, Viridiplantae, Streptophyta, Magnoliopsida, Poales, Poaceae. The transcript is spliced from 4 exons. The record is from RefSeq and is a predicted model, not a curated record.